Molecule: ribosomal RNA, 478 nt
Filed under: uncultured bacterium
Lineage: Bacteria
Description: partial 16S ribosomal RNA
Rfam family: Bacterial small subunit ribosomal RNA
Source: RNAcentral
GACGAACGCUGGCGGCGUGCUUAACACAUGCAAGUCGAACGGUAAGGCCCUUCGGGGUACACGAGUGGCGAACGGGUGAGUAACACGUGGGUGAUCUGCCCUGCACUUCGGGAUAAGCCUGGGAAACUGGGUCUAAUACCGGAUAGGACCACUGCCUGCAUGGGUGGUGGUGGAAAGCUUUUGCGGUGUGGGAUGGGCCCGCGGCCUAUCAGCGUGUUGGUGGGGUGAUGGCCUACCAAGGCGACGACGGGUAGCCGGCCUGAGAGGGUGACCGGCAACACUGGGACUGGGGUACGGCCCAGACUCCUACGGGAGGCAGCAGUGGGGAAUAUUGCACAAUGGGCGCAAGCCUGAUGCAGCGACGCCGCGUGAGGGAUGACGGCCUUCGGGUUGUAAACCUCUUUCAGCACCGACGAAGCGCAAGUGACGGUAGGUGCAGAAGAAGGACCGGCCAACUACGUGCCAGCCGCCGCAGUAA